GCUUUAUGUCACUCGGAUUGGCCCUUCGCGGCGAUGUAGUCCGCUUGCC
RNAcentral lists this small RNA (49 nucleotides) under Sinorhizobium meliloti 2011. Its description in RNAcentral is "putative ncRNA". The record is from RNAcentral. Lineage: Bacteria; Pseudomonadati; Pseudomonadota; Alphaproteobacteria; Hyphomicrobiales; Rhizobiaceae.